RNAcentral lists this ribosomal RNA (1482 nucleotides) under Lactiplantibacillus plantarum. RNAcentral describes it as "bacterial SSU rRNA". It matches the Rfam family "Bacterial small subunit ribosomal RNA". The record is from RNAcentral. Lineage: Bacteria; Bacillati; Bacillota; Bacilli; Lactobacillales; Lactobacillaceae.
GAAUAUGGCUCAGGACGAACGCUGGCGGCGUGCCUAAUACAUGCAAGUCGAACGAACUCUGGUAUUGAUUGGUGCUUGCAUCAUGAUUUACAUUUGAGUGAGUGGCGAACUGGUGAGUAACACGUGGGAAACCUGCCCAGAAGCGGGGGAUAACACCUGGAAACAGAUGCUAAUACCGCAUAACAACUUGGACCGCAUGGUCCGAGUUUGAAAGAUGGCUUCGGCUAUCACUUUUGGAUGGUCCCGCGGCGUAUUAGCUAGAUGGUGGGGUAACGGCUCACCAUGGCAAUGAUACGUAGCCGACCUGAGAGGGUAAUCGGCCACAUUGGGACUGAGACACGGCCCAAACUCCUACGGGAGGCAGCAGUAGGGAAUCUUCCACAAUGGACGAAAGUCUGAUGGAGCAACGCCGCGUGAGUGAAGAAGGGUUUCGGCUCGUAAAACUCUGUUGUUAAAGAAGAACAUAUCUGAGAGUAACUGUUCAGGUAUUGACGGUAUUUAACCAGAAAGCCACGGCUAACUACGUGCCAGCAGCCGCGGUAAUACGUAGGUGGCAAGCGUUGUCCGGAUUUAUUGGGCGUAAAGCGAGCGCAGGCGGUUUUUUAAGUCUGAUGUGAAAGCCUUCGGCUCAACCGAAGAAGUGCAUCGGAAACUGGGAAACUKRRGYRCAGAAGAGGACAGUGGAACUCCAUGUGUAGCGGUGAAAUGCGUAGAUAUAUGGAAGAACACCAGUGGCGAAGGCGGCUGUCUGGUCUGUAACUGACGCUGAGGCUCGAAAGUAUGGGUAGCAAACAGGAUUAGAUACCCUGGUAGUCCAUACCGUAAACGAUGAAUGCUAAGUGUUGGAGGGUUUCCGCCCUUCAGUGCUGCAGCUAACGCAUUAAGCAUUCCGCCUGGGGAGUACGGCCGCAAGGCUGAAACUCAAAGGAAUUGACGGGGGCCCGCACAAGCGGUGGAGCAUGUGGUUUAAUUCGAAGCUACGCGAAGAACCUUACCAGGUCUUGACAUACUAUGCAAAUCUAAGAGAUUAGACGUUCCCUUCGGGGACAUGGAUACAGGUGGUGCAUGGUGUCGUCAGCUCGUGUCGUGAGAUGUUGGGUUAAGUCCCGCAACGAGCGCAACCCUUAUUAUCAGUUGCCAGCAUUAAGUUGGGCACUCUGGUGAGACUGCCGGUGACAAACCGGAGGAAGGUGGGGAUGACGUCAAAUCAUCAUGCCCCUUAUGACCUGGGCUACACACGUGCUACAAUGGAUGGUACAACGAGUUGCGAACUCGCGAGAGUAAGCUAAUCUCUUAAAGCCAUUCUCAGUUCGGAUUGUAGGCUGCAACUCGCCUACAUGAAGUCGGAAUCGCUAGUAAUCGCGGAUCAGCAUGCCGCGGUGAAUACGUUCCCGGGCCUUGUACACACCGCCCGUCACACCAUGAGAGUUUGUAACACCCAAAGUCGGUGGGGUAACCUUUUAGGAACCAGCCGCCUAAGUG